This 2527-nucleotide long non-coding RNA is filed under the name Helianthus annuus (common sunflower). Lineage: Eukaryota; Viridiplantae; Streptophyta; Magnoliopsida; Asterales; Asteraceae. The record is from RNAcentral.
UACAAGUCUUUUAAGCACCAUAAAACAUCACUUUCCACUUAUACCCUCCUACUCAAAUAAACACGGGAUAAUACGUUUAGGGUUUCAUACUUUCAUUCUUUAUCCGCCCCCAUCUUUCCUUCCCUCUUCUCUCUCCUUCGUUUUCCAGAAACCCUAAAAUCGCAAGGCCACUUCCCCCGGUACAAGAGCUUCGGUGUAGUUACAGUCUGUGGAAAAAAGAUCCAGAUGAAUAUGGAGCGGUGGAGAUACACGAGCCAGAAGGAUGAAGCUUUGCAGAUCUGAGUUUUUAGCGACAUUCAAGAACGAUACAAACAAAAUUCUUGCGUCAAUCAGAAGGAUGAAGCUUCGGUGUAGUUGAAAGCAGGAAACAAGCAGAGCUAGGGAAGAUGACAAGCCCGGAUCUGAUAGGUUUGCUUCGGUAUAGUUGCAAUCGGUGGAUAAAGAUGGAAAUCAGAUGAAGAUGGAGUGAUGUAGAUGACAAGCAAAAUAUUGCCUCUAUCUGAGGCAGAGGUUAUACGUGAAGGUAGUGACAUAACUCUUGUUGGCUGGGGAGCUCAGCUCACUACCAUGGAACAAGCUUGUGUCGAUGCUGAAAAGGUGUAGUGGUCGAUGUUGCGUUGGUUGGUAUGUUGGCGCCUUGUACGCAUAUCCGAAAGCAGUCGGUGAUUUGGUCCAGCGGUUGGCGGCAACUGGCGGAGGUGCUACCUCAUUCGGCAUUUGUCACACAUUCCGGUGGCUGCUGGCCACAUGCUGUCACACAUCAGACCUCCAUUCGGACCUGUAUUGGCUGGUUCUAUGCUGGUAAAGGUUCCAGGUUAUACGUCUGGGCUGGUCAGCUGUUGAAGACCCAGUUCUGUUUCACUAUGCAGACUCAAGGGGACCGGGGUUGGGCUGGUAUUAUUCGUUGUAUCCAGAUCACUUUGCCGAGGCUGGCGAUCAUGGUAUGAAGAAAUGGAUUUGUUGUAAUGGGUGCUUUGAGCCAUACACUUCGAGUAUCUACCGUCGUAGAGUUUUGAGUGGUGAAUUUUUGCAGUGAACAAGCAUUUGCUCUAUGAAUUCAUUGAGAUGGGCCUCCUAAGUGCUGGUCCAGAUGGUUGUGUUUCGGUCUCUAAGGAAGUAUGAAUCAUCCUACUUAGACAAUGAUGAAGAAUCUGAUCUUGGCAACAAGAAGAUUUUAGACUUUUAGUUAACAACCCUGCAGAUGGUGAAAUUAUAGCUACUGUUCCAUGCAUGGGUGAGAUGGAAACGAAAGAUGCGAUUUCGGCAACGUAUGAUGCUUUUACCCGUAUGGAGCCAAACAAUCUCUUAUAGCUAGAUAUGUGCCUGUUACGCUUCAUUGUAAAGGGGAAAGGGAUUCAGAUGCAAACAACCUCUAAGAGAAGCUAUUGCAGAGGUCCGGUUGGUGUGGUUGGUGUAAUCACUCCAUGGAAUUUCCCCAUCGCAAAGAUUGCUCGCAAGGUUGGCCCUGCUCUUGCCUGUGGCUGUACUAUGGUCAUAAAGCCCUCUGAGCUCACACCAUUGACCGCCUUAGCAUUGGUGAUUCUCUACUAGAGAGCACACAGGUCAGGAAGAUAACAUUUACUGGUUCCACCAUUGUUGGAAAGAAGCUGAUGGCUGGUCCAUCAAAGACUGUUAAAAAGGUAUCUCUUGAACUUGGUGGUAACGUGCCUUGCAUAAUAUUCGAUGAUGCUGACCUGGAAUUGGCAGUGAAGGGGAGUUUGUCAACUAAAUUCAAUAACACUGGACAACAAUGUGUAUGCACAAAUAGAAUACUUGUGCAAGAAGGUAUGUAUUAGUGAGUUAUAGAAGUUAAAGGAGUGCUUUUGUAAUUGUCAGUUGUAAAAGGGGUCAGUUGUAAAUGAUUAAUUAACUCAGCUUGGCUGCUACUUGUUUAAUCUUUUGCAAUAAAGGAUUACCAGUCAACUUAAAAAGUCUAUUCAACAAGAUAACUAAGAAGACAAUAUUGGGUUGAAUUUUUGUACAUGUUUUCUAGAGGAUUGUGUUGUGUGCAAAGGAACUACGGAUAAUAUAACUGUGUUUCUUGCAGCCUGAAGAAAGGCAGCCGUUUUCCCCCUUCAUUUGCUGAAUGAUUAGACAAGGCAGUAAAACUCAAGUUUUCACUUGCCCUAUCAUUGGACAAUAAUUACUUUCCAAGACAUGGAGGCUGGUAAUUGCCAAUAGAAUGUAAUGAUUUUUACAUAUUCUUGUAUCUUGAUAAUUGCCAACAGAAUGUAUUGAUUUUUCUUUUGCCAAAAUCUGUUGAUUAUAUAGUUGUAGAGAUUGUUUAACCUGCUAAUUCUCUGUGCUAGCAAAAAAUGUUAAUUUCAUUGUCCCGAAUACUUAGGUUAUCACACCCUACUUAUUCCGAAACCAAACUUGACUUGACUUGGUCUCAACUUAAUAUGUCGGCUAAUCUUGGUUAUCAAUUAAUUCGGUUCGGUUGGGUUGUGGUCCGGACCUGGUUAACUGUUAACUAACAUCAAUACUAACCAGUAAUACAUGAGUACUUCCUAAUAACACCACGAGA